This is a long non-coding RNA of Paramormyrops kingsleyae, 1357 nucleotides long. RefSeq lists it as uncharacterized. Lineage: Eukaryota; Metazoa; Chordata; Actinopteri; Osteoglossiformes; Mormyridae. The record is from RefSeq and is a predicted model, not a curated record.
GUCAAAGCGGUGCCACUGAACGGGUGGCUGAGGAUGCAGUGUUUUGGACACAGGCUUCAUCUGGCUAUUGGUCAAGGUAUGGAUGAUUCCCGCAUUACCCGGGCUGUCUCUCUGUGUCAGAGAGUUGUCAGCAGCUUCUCCUACAGCUGGAAGAAGAGGAGAGAACUGGCUGAAAUGCAGGUGCAGUGGGGUCUGCCGGGUCACCAGCUCGUCACAGAAGCAGCCACUCGCUGGGGCUCAAGGCUGCAAAUGAUUCAGUCCUGAAGCAGGAAAGAGCGCUUGCUAGGGUGCUGUCUGCUGAUAAGAAAACCAGACAUCUUGUUCCCACCUGGCAGGACAUAGAGGUCCUGGAGGCAGUUCAGAAAGCUCUGAGACCCCUUCAAGACUUCACUGACGCACUUUCAGGAGAAGACUACAUGACUCUCUCAUACGUCAGACCUGUGCUACACCUGUUCAACACUAGUCUCCUGGCACAUGAAGAGGGGGAUACUGAGCUCUUUAAAUACAUCAAGACCAGCAUUGUGGAUUACCUCAACAGUAAAUAUGCAGACCCACCCACCAGUGACCUGUUGGACAUUGCUUCUUUUGUGGAUCCACGGUUCAGGGCCAAAUGCAUCCAGAGUGAGAAAAUGCAUGCACUGAAACAUAAAGUCAUCUUGGAAGCGGAGUCUCUGCUGAAUGAUCAGGACAGAUGUUUGUCUGAGUUGCCUGACCCAACUGUGCCUGAGCCUGCAGAUCGAGGAGAAUCGGCGGGGGCAGUGCCACCCACAGCUAAAAAGAAGAAAUCAGUGGCAGGCACAGCACAGCCACCAGCACCACUUUCACGCAGAGGGAGAAAAUAGAAAAUGAACUUUCUAGCUAUCUGCUGUCAGUUUGUACAGAGAGUGAUGCUGACCAUCUCAAAUGGUGGAAGGAACAUAAAGUUGCCUAUCCAGCACUGAGCUGCCUAGCCAGGAAGUAUCUUUGUGUGCAGGCCACCAGUUCCCCCUCUGAAAGGGUUUUCAGUUGCAGUGAGAACAUUGGGAACAUUGUAACCUGCCACAGAGAAUCCCUGAAGCCUGACACUGUUGAUAGGCUAGUUUUCCUGGCACAAAAUCUGUGAGUUGUCCUUGCUUGUUGUUAUUUAUUUUCUCAAUAUUUGACUUGUUAUUUGAGAUUUACACAGGAUACACUGACCAGGUGUUGAACAAUUUUGUUCAGUCAGUUUUGUUUGUACAGGUUAUGGUAAAAGAGGAAGCACUUUGACACUCAUUCUUUUUGCUCUGUAUCUGUUAUAUUUACAUUUUAUUUUUUUAAUCAGAGAGCAUGUUUACAUAUUAUAUAUUUUCGUUUGUUUUUAAUAAAAGGACCGUUGGUA